GUGUGAUAAUGGCAAACCAGUGGAAACGCUGGGACGCAAAGCCACGGGUCUACGGACGAAUGUCUAUGACAGCCGGGCUGCCACA
The sequence is a regulatory RNA element, 85 nucleotides long. It matches the Rfam family "c-di-GMP-I riboswitch aptamer". From Rfam's summary of the family: GEMM was predicted in a large-scale screen for bacterial structured RNA regulatory elements. The record is from Rfam.